UGGAGAAAAGCAGGGGAUCGUAAGACCUCGCGUUAUUAGAGCGGCCGAUAUCUGAUUAGCUAGUUGGUGGGGUAAAGGCCUACCAAGGCGACGAUCAGUAGCUGGUCUGAGAGGACGACCAGCCACACUGGAACUGAGACACGGUCCAGACUCCUACGGGAGGCAGCAGUGGGGAAUUUUGGACAAUGGGCGCAAGCCUGAUCCAGCCAUUCCGCGUGAGUGAAGAAGGCCUUCGGGUUGUAAAGCUCUUUCGCAAGGGAAGAAACGAUGCAGUCGAAUAAACUGCGUUAAUGACGGUACCUUGAUAAGAAGCACCGGCUAACUACGUGCCAGCAGCCGCGGUAAUACGUAGGGUGCGAGCGUUAAUCGGAAUUACUGGGCGUAAAGCGUGCGCAGGCGGUUUUGUAAGUCAGAUGUGAAAUCCCCGGGCUCAACCUGGGAACUGCGUUUGAAACUACAAAGCUAGA
This 467-nucleotide ribosomal RNA is filed under the name uncultured bacterium. RNAcentral's name for it is "bacterial SSU rRNA". It matches the Rfam family "Bacterial small subunit ribosomal RNA", at positions 197 to 645 of the family's 1533-position model. The record is from RNAcentral.